This 292-nucleotide ribosomal RNA is filed under the name uncultured bacterium. Its description in RNAcentral is "partial 16S ribosomal RNA". It matches the Rfam family "Bacterial small subunit ribosomal RNA", at positions 505 to 796 of the family's 1533-position model. The record is from RNAcentral.
GUGCCAGCAGCCGCGGUAAUACGGAGGGCGCAAGCGUUGUUCGGAAUUACUGGGCGUAAAGCGCGUGUAGGCGGCCUGACAAGUCGGGUGUGAAAUCCCGGAGCUCAACUCCGGAACUGCAUCCGAUACUGUCAGGCUCGAGUCUCGGAGAGGAUGGCGGAAUUUCCGGUGUAGAGGUGAAAUUCGUAGAUAUCGGAAGGAACACCAGUGGCGAAGGCGGCCGUCUGGACGAUGACUGACGCUGAGACGCGAAAGCGUGGGGAGCAAACAGGAUUAGAUACCCUUGUAGUCC